Molecule: small RNA, 448 nt
Filed under: Vigna angularis var. angularis
Lineage: Eukaryota; Viridiplantae; Streptophyta; Magnoliopsida; Fabales; Fabaceae
Description: Non-protein coding transcript
Source: RNAcentral
GUGAAAGAAAAAAGAGAAUAAGCUUGGUGAGAAGGAAGAUCCAGAGGUUGGUUGAAUGAGGAGCUUUAUGACAGUAACGCAGACAACAAAGAAGUUCUCCCAGGAUAAUCCGUGGCAUAUACUAGUAUAAGAAAAACGGUUAAAAUAAAAGGUAAUAUAAACUUCAAAGGAAUAAUGGGAGAAUAACAGUGCAAAUGUCAUAGUUUUCCAGAUUACUGACACAAGUCUUAAUUAGACAGAAUUGGUUGUUCCACAUACAACUUGUGUUUUAUCAUUAUUUUUUUGUCACUUCAACUAUUAAUACUGAGUUUUAGUUUAACAAUGGUUGCAUGAAAAUGUUCUCAAAGGCUUCUCGAAGAACCACGAACGAUGGGAUUAAUCUUAAGUUCACGGAAUUUGAAAAACAAAUCUGCGAAUGGGAAAAGAAUUAGACUUUUCGAUCCCUUGG